Small nuclear RNA from Phasianus colchicus (ring-necked pheasant), 104 nucleotides. The record is from Ensembl. NCBI's taxonomy places the organism in Eukaryota, Metazoa, Chordata, Aves, Galliformes, Phasianidae.
GGGCUCACUUCAGCAGCACACAUACUAAAAUUGGAAUGAUAAGAGAAGAUUAACAUGGUCUCUGCAAGGAUGACAUGCAAAUUCAAGAAGUGUUCCAUAUUUUU